Molecule: ribosomal RNA, 968 nt
Filed under: uncultured beta proteobacterium
Lineage: Bacteria; Pseudomonadati; Pseudomonadota; Betaproteobacteria
Description: bacterial SSU rRNA
Rfam family: Bacterial small subunit ribosomal RNA
Source: RNAcentral
GACAAUGGGGGCAACCCUGAUCCAGCCAUGCCGCGUGAGUGAAGAAGGCCUUCGGGUUGUAAAGCUCUUUCAGCGGGAAGAAAUCACAUGGGUUAAUACCCUGUGUGGAUGACGGUACCGGAAUAAGAAGCACCGGCUAACUACGUGCCAGCAGCCGCGGUAAUACGUAGGGUGCGAGCGUUAAUCGGAAUUACUGGGCGUAAAGCGUGCCAGGCGGUUUGUUAAGAUAGGCGUGAAAUCCCCGGGCUAACCUGGGAACUGCGUUUAUGACUGGCAGGCUAGAGUAUGGCAGAGGGGGGUGGAAUUCCACGUGUAGCAGUGAGAUGCGUAGAGAUGUGGAGGAACACCGAUGGCGAAGGCAGCCCCCUGGGCCAAUACUGACGCUCAUGCACGAAAGCGUGGGUAGCAAACAGGAUUAGAUACCCUGGUAGUCCACGCCCUAAACGAUGUCAACUAGGUGUUGGGUGGGUAAAACCAUUUAGUACCGGAGCUAACGCGUGAAGUUGACCGCCUGGGGAGUACGGCCGCAAGGUUAAAACUCAAAGGAAUUGAGGGGACCCGCACAAGCGGUGGAUGAUGUGGAUUAAUUCGAUGCAACGCGAAAAACCUUACCUACCCUUGACAUGUCCAGAAGCUCUUAGAGAUUUGAGUGUGCCCGAAAGGGAACUGGAACACAGGUGCUGCAUGGCUGUCGUCAGCUCGUGUCGUGAGAUGUUGGGUUAAGUCCCGCAACGAGCGCAACCCUUGUCGUUAAUUGCAUCAUUUAGUUGGGCACUUAACGAGACUGCCGGUGACAAACCGAGGAAGGUGGGGAUGACGUCAAGUCCUCAUGGCCCUUAUGGUAGGGCUUCACACGUCAUACAAUGGUCGGUACAAAGGGUUGCCAACCCGCGAGGGGGGCUAAUCCCAGAAAGCCGAUCGUAGUCCGGAUCGUAGGCUGCAACUCGCCUGCGUGAAGUCGGAAUCGC